This 566-nucleotide long non-coding RNA is filed under the name Mytilus galloprovincialis (Mediterranean mussel). The record is from RNAcentral. Lineage: Eukaryota; Metazoa; Mollusca; Bivalvia; Mytilida; Mytilidae.
AUUUUCUUUUAAAUGAUUAUUGCAGCAAACUGGCUACUAAACAAUAAUGUAGCAACUUGUUAUGUCUUGUUGGCGUGGUUAUUGAUUCAUACCCUUUACGAAUUAUUCAAGACUUAUGGGAACAUUUGAAUUAACUUUCCCUCCUCUACUUGGAAAUACCCUUUACGGUAGUUUUCUGUAAUUCAAGUUUGUCAGAGUAAAAGGAAAUCGACAACAGAUUUAUUUUGUCCUACCCCAUUGCAAGCGAAAACAGUGAGUAGAAUAGAUGAGGAUGCAACUCACGAGUCACCCGAUCAAAUCACUUUACCAUUGAAUUAGGUCAAUUAGUUUAUUUUGUGUCAGAAUAAUUUCUAGUAUAUGAGGGCCUGGGUGAGGUUUUAAGAAAACAGAAAAAUCGGUCCUGAAAUUAAUUUAAAUUUGAAAGAAUAUGGAUUUAAAAUGGUGCUAACUUAUAAAAUAAAGGAAAAUCAAAUUAUUGGUGACAAUGAUUAAAAAAUAAAUAUUUGAUAAUCCCAUUCUAAGCAUUCAAACCCUCAUUUAUAACCGUUGACAUGUUCCCCUACGAC